GCGUCAGUAGGUUGGUCGUGCCACCGGUACGUACUGGUCUCACUGAUUCCUCCUUCCUGAAGAACCGUAAUGCCAUUAAUUUGGUGUUGCGGGGAAACAGGACUGUUACUUUGAAAAAAUUAGAGUGUUUAAAGCAAGCUAACGCUUGAAUACAUUAGCAUGGAAUAAUGAAAUAGGACGAUCGAUCCUAUUUUGUUGGUUUCUAGGAUUGACGUA
Molecule: ribosomal RNA, 216 nt
Filed under: Glomeromycotina sp.
Lineage: Eukaryota; Fungi; Glomeromycota
Description: partial small subunit ribosomal RNA
Rfam family: Eukaryotic small subunit ribosomal RNA (bases 40-216)
Source: RNAcentral